RNAcentral lists this signal recognition particle RNA (228 nucleotides) under uncultured Monoglobus sp. Its description in RNAcentral is "Bacterial large signal recognition particle RNA". It matches the Rfam family "Bacterial large signal recognition particle RNA", at positions 9 to 228 of the family's 256-position model. Rfam says of the family: The signal recognition particle (SRP) is a universally conserved ribonucleoprotein involved in the co-translational targeting of proteins to membranes. Archaeal SRP consists of a 7S RNA and homologues of the eukaryotic SRP19 and SRP54 proteins. The record is from RNAcentral. Lineage: Bacteria; Bacillati; Bacillota; Clostridia; Monoglobales; Monoglobaceae.
AUCGGGGCGUUAGCGGUGCCUUGUAACCCUCAAUCCGCUACAGAGGGGAUGAAAACUUGCCAUGAGGGGUAUCUUUGUUUGGUCUGCCUCGCAUAAGUGGUGUUGACGGUUUGGUCUCGCGCAAUCAGAACCUGUGAACCUCGUCAGGGCGGGAACGCAGCAGCGAUAAGCAGUCAUUCUGAUGUGCCGCGAGGGUGCUAAAUCUGAGCUAACUGUGUGAGUAACGCU